CCUGGCGGCACUAGCGCGGUGGUCCCACCUGACCCCAUCGCCGAACUCAGAAGUGAAACGCCGUAGCGCCGAUGGUAGU
This 79-nucleotide ribosomal RNA is filed under the name Salmonella enterica subsp. enterica serovar Moscow str. SA20061414. Lineage: Bacteria; Pseudomonadati; Pseudomonadota; Gammaproteobacteria; Enterobacterales; Enterobacteriaceae. The record is from RNAcentral.